This 372-nucleotide ribosomal RNA is filed under the name uncultured organism. Its description in RNAcentral is "bacterial SSU rRNA". It matches the Rfam family "Bacterial small subunit ribosomal RNA", at positions 526 to 896 of the family's 1533-position model. The record is from RNAcentral.
CGGAGGGUGCGAGCGUUGUCCGGAAUCACUGGGCGUAAAGGGCGCGUAGGCGGCGCGGGUAGUCGUCGGUGAAAGCUCAGGGCCCAACUCUGAGUCGGCCGGUGAUACUCCCGUGCUCGAGCACUGUAGAGGCAGGUGGAAUUCCGGGUGUAGCGGUGGAAUGCGUAGAGAUCCGGAAGAACACCGGUGGCGAAGGCGGCCUGCUGGGCAGUAGCUGACGCUGAUGCGCGACAGCGUGGGGAGCAAACAGGAUUAGAUACCCUGGUAGUCCACGCCGUAAACGAUGGGCACUAGGUGCUUGGGGGAGCGACCCUCUGAGUGCCGGCGCUAACGCAUUAAGUGCCCCGCCUGGGGAGUACGGCCGCAAGGCUG